CCUACAUCAUCCAAUUGGGUCUUAUAAGCUUGUAUUUCAGAUAACCAGACCAGCAACAUGCGAUCGAGGAAAAUCAAACAAUCAACAAAAAAAGAUAAUCAUAUGUUAAAGUUAAAGAACAAAAAAAUAGAAAGUUGUAUAUGAAAAGAAGAAAAUAGAAAAUGAAGGACGAAGAGAGAAGAUGUCAAAGUUUGCGGUAAAAAAGCCAAAGAGGAGGAAGCACUUUCAAUUGUUUAUGGGACUGUGUCGUCUGACCAAAAUGUAGAAGUACUGGUCGUAGGUUGUGCAAGAUGAAAUAUUGGUUUUGACAGAGAUGCAGGCACCAUGAGAAUAUGUUACACGUGUUGUUCUGGCAGACAUGAAUAAAUCUUCUUCGCGAUAACAAAUCGACCAACCAGAAUACAUUUAAUUUAAGAUACAUGGAUACCGUAUGCAAGGUCAGUAUUGUUAAGCUAACUUAGUAUAUAUAUGAAAAGAUACUAAUAAAAAUUUUGUUCCGUGGAUAUGCGUUCAAGGCCAAAAAAUCGUUGGUUUGGGUUAAGUUGUGUCUUUUUGACACUAAUAUUUUGCAGGCAUGGACACAUAAAUAGAUGAUUGUUGUCAAGAAUCCAAAAGACGUUUCAGCCGAAAGAUAGUUACAGUAUCAAAACUCUCCCGAACAGUCUCUCUAUAAUCUACGCAUAAAGGGUAAGGUACCAUGAUCCAUAAUCAUAAUCAAUGAUCUUAGAUUACGAUUCUUUUCUGUUGUUUCCAUACUAAUUUGAUAAUAAUUGUUUCGAUACUAAUUUGAAAAUGUGUACGGAUGUAGUCAAAACGAUUGCUUUGCUUACCAUGUCAUGAUUAUCAUGAUUAUCAUGCAUAGUACUACAUAUAUUACUCUUAGUGAAUGAAUGAUUGGGGUGAAUACAAAAAUACAUGUUUGAA
Molecule: long non-coding RNA, 924 nt
Organism: Papaver somniferum (opium poppy)
Lineage: Eukaryota; Viridiplantae; Streptophyta; Magnoliopsida; Ranunculales; Papaveraceae
Exons: 2
Source: RefSeq, a predicted model, not a curated record